AUAUAAGAAGUGUAAGGUGCAUGAAUAAAUGAGAACGAUCGUACUCAUAUUGAGACUCCAUCGUUACUCCGGGUCCGCCUCCCACUCCGACAUCUGGUAGCAGAGGAUGGUCACAGGACACCUUUAACUUCUCCGAGACUGCGGUAAGCAGCUAGAGGAGGGGAGUGGGAAACUGGGGCUAAGGGAAGCGCUGCCUGUGCAUAGUCAAGGUAGACAGGUGGUGUGAGGUCGCUACUCGCCCCUUAGGGAUAAUUAUGGAAACAGAAGCUGCGGCCACGCUACUUGUGGGAAUCCUCUCUAAGAGAGGGCAUGAACUGCCCGCAAAACUGCUGAUAGAACUUCUACAUUUAGGUAGAAAAUGGGGACACUUUACUGAUCUGCACAUGAUGUUUUUUGUUACGGAGUGGUGAGAUUAUGGAGAAACGUUGUGGCAAAAGACUAUAUCAGGAACAGACAAGGAUGAAAAGGAAGUUAAAGCUGUUCGGAGGGACUGCACGAUCACGAAAAAGGGCAAAGAGCCUCUUGGGGGCUGUGGGGAAACUUGGCGAACUGUUGUUAAUACUUUACAAGCGCUGAAGGCCGAGUCAAAAGUUGCCGCUUUCGCUGUGUGCGCCAUAGCCUGCCCCAAUCCCCCGGCUGAAACUCAUCCUAUCACGACGAGUCGUAUGAGCGCUUUCUUUGGGGUGAGCCAGAAUUGCCCAAUGAAAGGAAUGACUGGGAAAGUUUGUACCAGCGCCUGCGAGCUCUUAAAUCCGGCUGUAAAAAGGGGGAAUGCGUCUGAGGACAUAGACAGCCCCAGUGCGCCGGAGGCACCCAUCAGAGGGCGGAAGUGCACUGACACAGGAACCGGAAGUGCCCACAGUAGCCGGCUGCGCUGAUAAAGUGCGGGGCGGCCCGAGCCGUCGGGCUAGCGAGGAAUCAGAGGAGGAAGAAAAUGCUACGAAAAUGCUGUAGCAACCAAGGACUGUUACCUGUUAAACAAUUGAUACAAACCUUAUCUUAUAAUAUAAGUGCAUAUUCUUGGCAGUCCUUACCUCUCUCUAGGGGAGUAACAAUUUAUGAAGAACACUCUGCAUUCCAGUGUCCCUUAUAAGAACCGUUUGAUGAACUGGCACUGCAGACAUUGAGAGAUAUGCUGAGAGAUAAAGGACUUGUUGUUGCACCUGAAAAAGUACAAAGAAGGUGGUCCUAGGUGGUUACCAGCAAAAAGUAUUCGACCCUACCUACAGACGUCAUCAGAACGUGAUCAACGGCCUACACAAGAAGAUCCUGCACAGGAAUGAAUGAAGAAAGCUGUAAUUGUGGGAAUUGUGAUCCCUGGGUGUUGCAUAAUUGUGGUGACUGUGAUAAUAAUCAGUGGCCCUGUAAUACGGACUAUUAAGGAUCAAAAUAAUGGUCUCUUGGGAGCACGGCGACUGGGAGUGCGGCGAAGAGGAGCGAUGCAAAGAGGAGCGAGGCAAAGAGGUGCGGGGCACGUUAUUACAAAGGGGCAGUUUGAGCGGCAGUUCAAGCGGACAGGGCGAGCAGGAAGGGCUCAGGGAGAGGCUGGUGGUGGAUCAGACGGGGCAGCGGACCAUGGUGGCUACCAGGCAGAAAAUUAAAACUGUUCUGGGAGCAGCAGCGAACAGGAUGGAUGUUGCCACCCAGACAGAGCCUCAGUGGGUCCAUGCAGCUACGCAGACCCUGGGCUGUAGGCAGUGCCCCCCUCCCACACCAGCCUGUGCCUCUGGUACCGGCUACACUUGUGGGAGCUGUGCGCGAGUCGGAGAACUCCUUCACAUGGUGGCAGAGCUGAGGGAGGAGGUGAACAGAUUAAGGACUAUCAGGGAAUGUGAGAGGGACAUAGAUCUUUGGAGCAGUGCCCUCACACAAACCCAGCAGGCUGCUGGAGCCAGUGCAGCGGAGCAGCUCGAUCCUACAAUCUGUGAGGCAGGGAGAACAAGAGAUGGGGGAUGGCAGCAAGUUCCUGUCCGGCGCAGGAAACCUGCUCCCCCCACCCGGACAACUAACCCCCAGAUAGCCCUCAGAAAUCAAUAUGAAGCGCUGCAGGAGGAACCUAUCCCCCAGGAAGAAGAAGAUGGUCCCCACAGCCUAGAUUUCUCGUGUGUGUACCUUGUGCGGUCUUUCCCUGAUGACAGAAGGGUUACCACAUGUGAUAGUUGAUCUUAGCCAGGUGCCAGGCGGCCAGAGAAAGGGAGAGCCAGUGAUGAAGCAGCUGAUUUCAGCAGCAUCUUUUGAAGCAAGAAGGGAGGUGGUCCAGGGCAUGGGAAAGGAGGCAGGAAGGAAGGGAUGUUGAGACCACCAAGAGAGAAGAUGAGGAGAUGCUAACUGUCUAAGUGUAAACACUGCCCAGGUAAAUUUGAGAGUAAAUUUGUCCCUGUUACAGAGGGGAGAUGGAGAAAAGGGGUAGCAUUCCCCAACAAAGUGUUGUCCAACCACACACUGACAGAGACACAGGAUUUUUUUCAAACAAAUCUAUUUCUACGUUCUUAGAGGGUAAACUCUUCCUGCGCCUCCUCACAGGAGGAGCAUCACAACUGUGAGCAGGUGCAGUGGAUAAGCAGGGGCCCGGCUUCUCUGCAGUUCACAACGGGGUGGAGGAGGAAGCAGACCACGUUCUCUGGCAAGCGCUCCACCCAGGCGCAGGACAGUGUUGCUGGCGUCUUCCCCACAGUGCCCGGCUCUGAUGGAACAGCAUUCCAGCGGAGAGUCUGAGGGACAGAAGCAGGCGGUCAAUGAUGUUGAGCUUGUGGGUGCUGAGGGCUUCAUAGGCGCUGGCUUGGUGCCGUGCCUGGAAGCAGCUCAGUCAGAAAGUUGUUCUUGGGAAGGGAUUGGCCAAUGCAGUGGAGGUAACCACCUAACCCAGAGAGACAUCUGGCUUGUCUUGUCAGAAAUCCUGCUUCUCCUCUCCCUCCUCGUGCACACUGCUUGAGGUUCUUUUUUGGCUGCCGCUGUUGGAGUCAGCACUCUGCUGCCUGCGCAGCCAAUAGAGCCCAAAGAGCAUCAGAAGGGUAUCAGCCAAUACCCAAAACCACCAGUUGCGGAAGGCAGCAAGGAGCAUGUUUUCCUGGCUGAGCCCAUGAGGCUCCUGACUCAUCUUCUCCAUUUCCUCCAUUAGCCAAGUCAUCUCCUCAAGCUGCUCUUCCUCACGCUGCUUCAGGACAUCUUGCGUAGUAGCUACAUUGCUCCAUUCCUCCACCUUCGCUGUGCACUGCACAAGGCUCAGGACGGUCAGGAUGUGGGUAAUGCCCAUACCCAUGGCCUGGAGGAGAAGGGAGAGAAGGAGCUCAGCAGGGCUGGGAGGGGCAGGAGAUGCAGGGGCCCAGGGCUUGGUUGUGGAGGGGGUGAGGGAGCUGGGAGGCAUUAAGG
Cuculus canorus (common cuckoo) is the source of this 3369-nucleotide long non-coding RNA. RefSeq lists it as uncharacterized. The record is from RefSeq and is a predicted model, not a curated record. Lineage: Eukaryota; Metazoa; Chordata; Aves; Cuculiformes; Cuculidae. The transcript has 3 exons.